This 301-nucleotide ribosomal RNA is filed under the name uncultured bacterium. RNAcentral's name for it is "partial 16S ribosomal RNA". It matches the Rfam family "Bacterial small subunit ribosomal RNA", at positions 509 to 808 of the family's 1533-position model. The record is from RNAcentral.
CAGUCGCCGCGGGAAUACGUAGGUGGCAAGCGCUGUCCGGAAUUAUUGGGCGUAAAGCGAGCGCAGGCGGUUAGAUAAGUCUGAAGUUAAAGGCUGUGGCUUAACCAUAGUACGCUUUGGAAACUGUUUAACUUGAGUGCAAGAGGGGAGAGUGGAAUUCCAUGUGUAGCGGUGAAAUGCGUAGAUAUAUGGAGGAACACCGGUGGCGAAAGCGGCUCUCUGGCUUGUAACUGACGCUGAGGCUCGAAAGCGUGGGGAGCAAACAGGAUUAGAUACCCCGGUAGUCCCUGUCUCUUAUACC